RNAcentral lists this ribosomal RNA (429 nucleotides) under uncultured Solirubrobacterales bacterium. RNAcentral's name for it is "bacterial SSU rRNA". It matches the Rfam family "Bacterial small subunit ribosomal RNA", at positions 355 to 776 of the family's 1533-position model. The record is from RNAcentral. Lineage: Bacteria; Bacillati; Actinomycetota; Thermoleophilia; Solirubrobacterales.
UGGGGAAUCUUGCACAAUGCGCGAAAGCGUGAUGCAGCAACGCCGCGUGGGGGAAGAAGGCCUUCGGGUUGUAAACCUCUUUCAGUUGGGACGAAGGUCCGACGGUGAAUAGCCGCCUGGGCUGACGGUACCUUCAGAAGAAGCCCCGGCUAACUACGUGCCAGCAGCCGCGGUAAUACGUAGGGGGCAAGCGUUGUCCGGAAUCAUUGGGCGUAAAGCGCGUGUAGGCGGCCACGUUAGUCCGUUCUGAAAGCCCGGGGCUCAACCCCGGGAGGCGGAUGGAUACUGCGUGGCUCGAGUCCGGAAGAGGCGAGUGGAAUUCCUGGUGUAGCGGUGAAAUGCGCAGAUAUCAGGAGGAACACCAAUGGCGAAGGCAGCUCGCUGGGACGUGACUGACGCUGAGACGCGAAAGCGUGGGGAGCAAACAGG